AGGCAGUGAGUGUCCAAAAAUCCAACCAGGGAGCAUGGCAGUGAGACACAGGUUAAUAUGAAAACCAAUUGGAGACAUAUACUGGAAUAUACUUAUUUGAUGUGUUGCAUUACUAUUGCUACAAGUUGAAGUCAUGAGAUCUUCAUCUUCCCGUCUAAGUUUCUCUUCGAAAGAACCAAUAUGGAACCGGAUGCCAGAUCAAAUAUCGGUGUCGGAGUUUCUGUCGGAAACAACAGAGGAUUACAACUCUCCCACCACAUCUAGUUUCACCACCCGCCUGCAAAGCUGCAGGAACACAAUCAACGUGUUGGAGGAGGUAAGAAACUGCCUGAUUUCUCGUGCAUUAUUGCAUUACAUGUGUUUACCUUGCACAAUCCAUAUAUACCCUAUUACAUACAAUAAAACUGUGUUUAUGUGUAUCAGUGCGCCUAUUGCACCUGUUUGCGUUAGGUACGUAGCUUAUAUUGCAUCUGUUUAUAUAAU
Molecule: non-coding RNA, 483 nt
Organism: Misgurnus anguillicaudatus (oriental weatherfish)
Lineage: Eukaryota; Metazoa; Chordata; Actinopteri; Cypriniformes; Cobitidae
Source: RefSeq, a predicted model, not a curated record